RNAcentral lists this ribosomal RNA (349 nucleotides) under Pagrus major (red seabream). RNAcentral describes it as "partial 16S ribosomal RNA". It matches the Rfam family "Bacterial large subunit ribosomal RNA", at positions 2033 to 2532 of the family's 2925-position model. Lineage: Eukaryota; Metazoa; Chordata; Actinopteri; Spariformes; Sparidae. The record is from RNAcentral.
UCUAUGAAAUUGAUCUCCCCGUGCAGAAGCGGGGAUAAUACCAUAAGACGAGAAGACCCUAUGGAGCUUUAGACGUCAGAGCAGCCCAUGUAAAGCACCCCUUAACAAAGGAAAAAACCAAAUGAAGCCUGCCCUAAUGUCUUUGGUUGGGGCGACCGCGGGGAAAUACAAAACCCCCAUGUGGAGUAGGAAUACACAUUCCUAAACCCAAGAGCUCCCGCUCUAAUGAACAGAAAUUCUGACCAAUAAGAUCCGGCACACGCCGAUCAACGGACCGAGUUACCCUANGGAUAACAGCGCAAUCCCCUUAAAGAGCCCUUAUCGACAAGGGGGUUUACGACCUCGAUGU